UCAUUAAAGUACGGCCAGUCAUUAUGUAACAUUUUGAAGUGAUUGCAGUUGCAGGACUCUCUCUCUCUCUCUCACACACACACAUACACCUAGUGCUCCUUUAGCCUGUAAAUAAUUCAAAAAAGGAAAUGCAUGUUGUCUGUCUUAGGGGAUAUUCCAUACUGGAUCGUGCAAAAUUCCUGGGGAACCACAUGGGGGAAUGAGGGUUAUGUUUAUAUAAAAAUUGGUGGAAACGUUUGUGGUAUUGCAGACUCUGUGGCAUCCGUUUUUCUUUAACAGCACUGUAUAUUUGUCUGUGCUUUGUGUGUGUGUGUGUUCACUACUGCCAAAAUUGAAAUCAGUCAUCUGUUUGCCUUCAAAUUACAUUUUAAAUAAUGUUUUUAUUGAGAUGUCACCAUCUUGCAUCACUAAAACUAAAUAAAUCACUUCACUUGUUGAUACAUUUUGGAUCAUAACUGAGUAAUUAGCACACAUACACCACUAUAAGACUAAUAACAACACAUGCACUGUAUAAAAUAUGUAUCUUAUUAAAUACAUAAGGUAGAUACAUGUCAUGGGUAAUAUAAGUCAAAUUUAUCUAUACAGAUAUCACAUUAAUCACCACAUAAAUACAUAACAAAACUGAUUUAACACCAAAUAGAAUACUAUACAAAACGCAUCUAUAACAACUAUAUUAUUAACAUUAUGUACAAAUUUUACGGUUCAUAUUUUAUAGUUUUACAUUUACAUUCUGCAAAUAGUUUCAAUUUAGAUGUUGACACUGAUUGUUUAUGCAGAGGUUUACACCUACGCCUCAUCUGAACAGCUCCCUCUCUGACACCUUCUCCACAAAAGAUGAUGGGUUUGUGAAAACUCUCCAUCGACACCAGUUUGAUAAGUGCUCUCACUGAUCCAUUUGCUUUCUGGUCAGUCACAGUGAAUUUGCAUAAUUUUAUUUAGAAAACAUUGAAGCAAAUCUUAUCAAGCAGCCAUCUGCUAUACUUGAUGUCCAGUCAGGGUUAGAGAUUAGAGCAAAAUAGUCUAUUAUGGCCAUUUGAUUUAUUCAGGGUCAGAUUCACUGUCACAGAUUCUGGAGCCUGAUGUAGCUAAUGAACUAGUAAUUUUCUGUUUUGUUCUUUUUCAGCAUAAUUUUAGGAUAUUUGCUACGCUAUUAGUAUCACAAC
Molecule: long non-coding RNA, 1163 nt
Organism: Toxotes jaculatrix (banded archerfish)
Lineage: Eukaryota; Metazoa; Chordata; Actinopteri; Toxotidae
Exons: 2
Source: RefSeq, a predicted model, not a curated record